RNAcentral lists this long non-coding RNA (560 nucleotides) under Capra hircus (goat). RNAcentral describes it as "lncRNA (ENSCHIG00000005948.1)". Lineage: Eukaryota; Metazoa; Chordata; Mammalia; Artiodactyla; Bovidae. The record is from RNAcentral.
UGUGUGUGUAGCCUUGUCACCGCAGCCUCCACGCUUAGCGGCUCCUGAUGGUGAGGUGUGUCCUGUCCACGUCAGGCAGGAGGGGAUGGAGGCCUCGGGGCGAGGCGGUGCCGUGCAGGGGCUCCCGUGGUGAGGUGCAGAUCCGUGUGAUACAUGUCAGUGUCUCCCGGCCGGAGCUGUUUUCCUGUGACCAGCUGUUUCCUUUGGCUGUUCAGCCUGUUUCAGCUGAAUGCCUAAUCAACACUGAGGCCCAUGGGACGCUAUUGGUGAACCCACGAGUCAGGGUUCUGCAGUCCUGCGACGCCUCGGGGCCCGUCCAGGGCGACGUUUUAGAUACAGAGAAUAUGCCGCACAGGAUGACAGGGGCAUCCGCCACACUGAAGUGACGUCUACCCUCGGAUCCCUGGGGGCGCAGGGUCUCGGCUUGGCUGGCCAAGGAUGUCACCUUGCUGUGCUGAAGGAGAAAAUCCUGACAAGUUUUACCUUGAGAAACAGUUAAAUUCACCAAAUUCUUCAGGAGCAGCAGUCUGGACCUUGACCACUGAGGCAGAGUACUCAGG